Molecule: long non-coding RNA, 453 nt
Filed under: Monodelphis domestica (gray short-tailed opossum)
Lineage: Eukaryota; Metazoa; Chordata; Mammalia; Didelphimorphia; Didelphidae
Description: lncRNA (ENSMODG00000040952.1)
Source: RNAcentral
AGAAACUGUCACAGAAAAACCAUUAGACUUGAAACUGAUUCUGUCUCAGCUCUGUUUGAAACUUCAAUUGUUUCUCAAGCAAGCUUCUCUACUUCUUAUCUCUAAACUAAUAUAAUAAGACUUAAUUUCUAAUAUCAUCCUUAUACUGUGUGACCCUGGUCAAGUCACUUAACCUCUAUUGCCUAGCCCCCUGUAAUAGAGGGCAAUACUAGGAUAUUUGUGGUAGUAAGGACAGGGACAGCAGGAAGCCAGCUAAGGGACAAGGCUGGACCUUACACUCCUCCCACACACUACUUCCUGUCCCUUCCCCAACUGAAUCUAAAGAUUCUUCUCAAGAAUGAAGAAGAGAUUGAAUUAGAUGGCCUCUGAAGACCAUUCCAGCUCUGCAUGUGUUUACUGAAUGAGGAAAUAGACAGCCUGAGGUUAAGGGACUUCUCAGGGUCACACAGCUAC